GAUGUUAAGACGGUAUCUUUUACCCAGGGACA
RNAcentral lists this transfer RNA (32 nucleotides) under Eudromia elegans (elegant crested-tinamou). RNAcentral's name for it is "partial tRNA-Phe". Lineage: Eukaryota; Metazoa; Chordata; Aves; Tinamiformes; Tinamidae. The record is from RNAcentral.